This 498-nucleotide ribosomal RNA is filed under the name uncultured bacterium. Its description in RNAcentral is "partial 16S ribosomal RNA". It matches the Rfam family "Bacterial small subunit ribosomal RNA", at positions 28 to 523 of the family's 1533-position model. The record is from RNAcentral.
GAUGAACGCUGGCGGCGUGCUUAACACAUGCAAGUCGAACGAAGCACUUUAACUUGAUUUCUUCGGAUUGAUUGUUAUUGUGACUGAGUGGCGGACGGGUGAGUAACGCGUGGGUAACCUGCCUCAUACAGGGGGAUAACAGUUGGGAACGACUGCUAAUACCGCAUAAGCGCACGGUAUCGCAUGAUACAGUGUGAAAAACUCCGGUGGUAUGAGAUGGACCCGCGUCUGAUUAGCUAGUUGGCGGAGUAACGGCCCACCAAGGCAACGAUCAGUAGCCGACCUGAGAGGGUGACCGGCCACAUUGGGACUGAGACACGGCCCAAACUCCUACGGGAGGCAGCAGUGGGGAAUAUUGCACAAUGGGCGAAAGCCUGAUGCAGCGACGCCGCGUGAACGAUGAAGUAUUUCGGUAUGUAAAGUUCUAUCAGCAGGGAAGAAGAAUGACGGUACCUGACUAAGAAGCACCGGCUAAAUACGUGCCAGCAGCCGCAGUAA